UACGUAGGGUGCAAGCGUUAAUCGGAAUUACUGGGCGUAAAGCGUGCGCAGGCGGUGAUGUAAGACAGUUGUGAAAUCCCCCGGGCUCAACCUGGGAACUGCAUCUGUGACUGCAUUGCUGGAGUGCGGCAGAGGGGGAUGGAAUUCCGCGUGUAGCAGUGAAAUGCGUAGAUAUGCGGAGGAACACCGAUGGCGAAGGCAAUCCCCUGGGCCUGCACUGACGCUCAUGCACGAAAGCGUGGGGAGCAAACAGG
Molecule: ribosomal RNA, 254 nt
Filed under: uncultured bacterium
Lineage: Bacteria
Description: partial 16S ribosomal RNA
Rfam family: Bacterial small subunit ribosomal RNA
Source: RNAcentral